GACGAACGCUGGCGGCGUGCUUAACACAUGCAAGUCGAACGGAAAGGCCCUGCUUGCCGGGUACUCGAGUGGCGAACGGGUGAGUAACACGUGGGUGAUCUGCCCUGCACUUCGGGAUAAGCCUGGGAAACUGGGUCUAAUACCGGAUAGGAGCCAUUUUUAGUGUGAUGGUUGGAAAGUUUUUUCGGUGUAGGAUGAGCUCGCGGCCUAUCAGCUUGUUGGUGGGGUAAUGGCCUACCAAGGCGGCGACGGGUAGCCGGCCUGAGAGGGUGGACGGCCACAUGGAGAGAGGGUGGAGGCGCAGGCUGGUGGGAGAGGGAGCAGGGAGGAAGCGUGGGUGGUGGCGAGGAUGGUGGUGGGGGGACGGCGCGUGGGGGAUGCGGGCCUUGGUGUUGUGAAGGCGUGAGGCUGGGGAGGAUUAUUGUGGUGUAGGUAGGAAGAAACGAAGCAGCGGGUACAUAAGUGGCAGCUGGCGAGGAAAUAGAGAGGAAAAGCCCGCGUCAGAAC
Molecule: ribosomal RNA, 507 nt
Filed under: uncultured bacterium
Lineage: Bacteria
Description: partial 16S ribosomal RNA
Rfam family: Bacterial small subunit ribosomal RNA (bases 20-328)
Source: RNAcentral